RNAcentral lists this ribosomal RNA (492 nucleotides) under uncultured bacterium. RNAcentral's name for it is "partial 16S ribosomal RNA". It matches the Rfam family "Bacterial small subunit ribosomal RNA", at positions 28 to 523 of the family's 1533-position model. The record is from RNAcentral.
GACGAACGCUGGCGGCGUGCUUCACACAUGCAAGUCGAACGGAAAGGCCCCUUCGGGGGUGCUCGAGUGGCGAACGGGUGAGUAACACGUGGGUAACCUGCCCCCAUCUCUGGGAUAACCGCUGGAAACGGCGGCUAAUACCGGAUACGACCUGGUCUCGCAUGGGGCUGGGUGGAAAGCUUUUGCGGUUGGGGAGGGGCCCGCGGCCUAUCAGUUGGUUGGUGGGGUGAUGGCCUACCAAGACGUUGACGGGUAGCCGGCCUGGGAGGGCGGUCGGUCAAGUUGGGACUGAGAUACGGCCCAGACUCCUACGGGGGGCAGCAGUGGGGAAGUUUGCACAAUGGGCGGAAGCCUGAUGCAGCGACGCCGCGUGAGGGAUGACGGCUUUCGGGUUGUAAACCUCUUUUAUCCACCACGAAGGCGGUGUAUUCGCACCGUUGACGGUAGUGGUUGAAUAAGCGCCGGCUAACUACGUGCCAGCCGCCGCGGUAA